Long non-coding RNA from Mercenaria mercenaria, 1056 nucleotides. RefSeq lists it as uncharacterized. The transcript has 3 exons. NCBI's taxonomy places the organism in Eukaryota, Metazoa, Mollusca, Bivalvia, Venerida, Veneridae. The record is from RefSeq and is a predicted model, not a curated record.
UCUAAAUUUCAUUACAAGAUCCGGAGACGAGCGAGACUUAAGUGGAAAGAGAAAAGGAUAACGGAUUUAAUGGCAAAAGUUCCAAACUAUCCAGUCCUCCUGAAGGGCAAAACACCACAAGAAGUUGCUGACUAUUACGACCACUGGGCUGAAAAUUUUAACCUUUACCCUGCUGAAUUUCUAAAAUGGACUGGUCCAUCAUUCAAUUUGGGCAACACCAUUUAUUAUUCAAAGGGGUGUUUGCUGAAAAUUUACUGACUGAACAGCGAACAGUGCAGACCAUGAUCAGACUGCACGGAUGUGCAGGCUGAUCUUGGUCUGCACUGGUCGCAAAGGCAGAAAUAUUUGCCGCCAGCAGGCUAAAGGUUAAAUAUGACCAGGUAUCAAUUAUCAAUAAAAUUGACACAAUUUAUUCAACUCAAGCUUUUUCUUAUACAUUGUAUUAUAUGAACUAUAUGUAUUAGAAAUAAAUAAAAUUUUACAUUUUCUCAACUCAUGAAUAUAUUGCAUCUGGUGUGCACUCAGCAAAAACUGUUUUGAUCAUACAUCUUCAUUAAAUUAGUAUUCAUUUUAUUUCGUGCCUUUUUAAAUCUUUAAAAUUAAUCUUACCCAUUUAACUCGUGCAAAUUUGUGCCGUUCGGGCAAUAAGGCACAUUCUUAUGUGCUAUUUUAUUAUAUAAAUGUAUUUUGCUUUUUUUGUCUUCGUAGAUGCCAGGAUAUGCUAACUCUUUGCCAGGGUCCAGGAAUGUGCCAGUGACAAGUUAUUAGCACAUUUUGCCUUUGUCGCAUCAGAACACAAGACUUAAAGUCGAAUACAUACAACGGUCCAAAAUAUAUUGCUGACGAGGUGGCUGCUUGUUUCCCAGAGAACAGAAACAAAUAAAGAUUAUUGACAUUGCCUGUGGAACUGGUUUCGUUGGAGAAAAGUUGGCAGUUGAUGGCUUUACAUUUAUCGACGGCCUCGACCCUUCUAAUGGAAUGCUGUCACAAUGCAAGGACAAAGGCCUCUAUAAUAAACUGUACAAAGAAUUCUGUGGUGAUACAACCCUACCAAUU